ACAGACCGAAAGGGAGAAAGAACUUCACUUCUUAUCUUGGCCGUAGAACUUAUAUCAGAAGAAGAAGGACUCGAAUUGUUACAAACUACGGAGAGCGAUUUCGGUUUGCGUCUGGAACUGGAGAUGUCAGUGAAGCCGGAGUAGUAUUUCCCACCAUAUUUCAAUUGGCGGGAGAAUUCGGACAGUUUGGCGGUAAGAUGGAAGUUGGGAGAAUUGACGGUAAUAGAGAACAGCGCCGCCGUAGCCAUGGCUGAGCAACGUUAUCCCGGUAGAAAUGCAGUGGUUUGU
This 288-nucleotide unclassified non-coding RNA is filed under the name Hevea brasiliensis (rubber tree). Lineage: Eukaryota; Viridiplantae; Streptophyta; Magnoliopsida; Malpighiales; Euphorbiaceae. The record is from RNAcentral.